This 1291-nucleotide small RNA is filed under the name Rattus norvegicus (Norway rat). RNAcentral's name for it is "uncharacterized LOC102548561". Lineage: Eukaryota; Metazoa; Chordata; Mammalia; Rodentia; Muridae. The record is from RNAcentral.
CAUGAAUGAAUGCUCUUCCUGGUUUUCCAAACUUGAAUAUUAAGAUGAAAUGUAGUGCUGAAACCAGGGAAACUGAUAAGGUGUAGUAGCUAGGCCUUCAGCUUUUAAGUUUGGUUUCAAGCAAAGGAAGAAGAAACAUAGUAGCCCAGUAGGGCUGAGUCUUACUCCCUACCUAACACAGGCUUGGAGGUGGGGUGAGCUGAGAAAGGAGAUGACAAGGCAUCACAGUGAUGGUGGGCCAAGAUGGUUGAGAUGUCCUGAGGUGCUCUGCAAGGAAAGAAAGAAUGGAUCAAAGAAGUCUAUUUCUGUCUAUCCUUUCUCUGUCUCUCUGUCUCUGUCUGUCUCUCUGAGGGUGUCUUUUGUGUGUCAUAUAAACACGUUCACAUGUGUGUGUGCAUGAAUGUAUGAGUGAGUGUGGGGAGGCCAGAGGUCAAUGUUGGGUGUAUUUGAUUACUCUUUGUGUUAUAUUUUGACACAGGGUCUCUCCCCUGAUCCUGGAGCUCCUUGUUUUGGCUGGGUUGGGUGGCCAAUGAACUCCAAGGAUUAGCCUAUUUCUGCACCCUUCAGCCUCAGUGCUGGGUGACGGAUGCCAUGCCCAGGUUUUAUAUGGAUGCUUGGCAUCCCAACACAGGACAUUGUUGAAGGUACCUUCUUGAUUUAUUCUUUGCAUGAUCCUUCCAAAGGAAACUUCCUUUGGGAUAGCCCUUUCAUUCCUUCCAGGCUCAAGGGUAUGAAACUCACUUCAGGAAAAUAUGCACAGAAAUGACGACCUGCUCCUUAGCUUUGUCUCUAAAUAGGACAGCUUUGAAUAGAGCAUCUGCUGAGAGUAGGAGGUAUGUCUGCCUUCAGAUGCUCGAUGAAGCCUAUGUGUGCUCUGUUAAACUUGGCCUGAGUGCAAGCCUAGCUGAGUUUUUCUUACUUCCUGCUUUCCUCCAGUGACUGAAGUCUAGUCCCUGCUUGCUCACUUGAAGAGAUGCUAGAAACAGGCACACACAGGUGCUGACCACCUUGCCAGCUCUGCUUCUCUUCCACAUUCAAGCUUCUCCCUGAAUGGAAAACCACAAGAAUGACGAUCUAAUUGAGUCUGCGCUGGCUGGCUCCCUGCCCACUGCUAACUAGUUUGAUUCAGUUUUUCCAUUGUUGAUAACAAAACACAGGCACUGGAGACUGACUUGACUGGAGCAAUGGAGAAAGAAGAAGCAACAGGCACUCAGACUGGGAUCAGGUUUUUACCUCUUCCUGAAUCAUCUAUACUCACUUCAUCAUGGUCUCCUCUGUAGUCUGGCUCCAU